UACGGAGGGUGCAAGCGUUAUCCGGAUUCACUGGGUUUAAAGGGUGCGUAGGUGGGUCUGUAAGUCAGUGGUGAAAUCCCCGAGCUUAACUUGGGAACUGCCGUUGACACUAUAGAUCUUGAAUAUCGUGGAGGUAAGCGGAAUAUGUCAUGUAGCGGUGAAAUGCUUAGAUAUGACAUAGAACACCAAUUGCGAAGGCAGCUUACUACACGAUCAUUGACACUGAGGCACGAAAGCGUGGGGAGCAAACAGG
RNAcentral lists this ribosomal RNA (253 nucleotides) under uncultured bacterium. Its description in RNAcentral is "partial 16S ribosomal RNA". It matches the Rfam family "Bacterial small subunit ribosomal RNA", at positions 524 to 776 of the family's 1533-position model. The record is from RNAcentral.